This 67-nucleotide small RNA is filed under the name Oceanobacillus oncorhynchi. Its description in RNAcentral is "Bacillaceae-1 RNA". It matches the Rfam family "Bacillaceae-1 RNA". The record is from Rfam by way of RNAcentral. Lineage: Bacteria; Bacillati; Bacillota; Bacilli; Caryophanales; Bacillaceae.
UGAAAAGGACCGGUCGGCUAAGUACGCGACGUCCUGUCGCAAAGCCGACACUAGCACGUCCUGGGAC